This 440-nucleotide ribosomal RNA is filed under the name uncultured bacterium. Its description in RNAcentral is "partial 16S ribosomal RNA". It matches the Rfam family "Bacterial small subunit ribosomal RNA", at positions 338 to 795 of the family's 1533-position model. The record is from RNAcentral.
CCUACGGGAGGCAGCAGUGAGGAAUAUUGGUCAAUGGGGGAAACCCUGAACCAGCAACGCCGCGUGAGGGAAGACGGUUUUCGGAUUGUAAACCUCUGUCCGCUGGGAAGAGGAUGACGGUAGCAGAGGAGGAAGCUCCGGCUAACUACGUGCCAGCAGCCGCGGUAAUACGUAGGGAGCGAGCGUUGUCCGGAUUUACUGGGUGUAAAGGGUGCGUAGGCGGCUUGGCAAGUCAGUAGUGAAAUCCAUGGGCUUAACCCAUGAACUGCUAUUGAAACUGUCGAGCUUGAGUGAAGUAGAGUUAGGCGGACUUCCCGGUGUAGCGGUGCAAUGCGUAGCGAUCGGGAGGCACCCCAGUGGCGACGGCGGCCUACUGGGCUUUACCUGACGCUGUGGCACGAAAGCGUGGGUAGCAAACAGGAUUAGAUACCCGAGUAGUC